This 276-nucleotide ribosomal RNA is filed under the name uncultured bacterium. Its description in RNAcentral is "partial 16S ribosomal RNA". It matches the Rfam family "Bacterial small subunit ribosomal RNA", at positions 28 to 301 of the family's 1533-position model. The record is from RNAcentral.
GAUGAACGCUAGCGGCAGGCCUAAUACAUGCAAGCUGAACGGCAAGAUUUGUAGCAAUACGAGUCCUAGAGUAGCGUAAGGGUGCGUAACACGUAUGCAAUCUGCCCGCAACAGGAGGAUAGCUUAGCGAAAGUUGAGAUAAGACUCCAUAAGAUCACGAGAGGGCAUCUGAUUGUGAUUAAACUACAAGGGGUUGCGGAUGAGCANGCGUCUGAUUAGUUAGUUGGCGGGGUAACGGCCCACCAAGACGAUGAUCAGUAGGGGAACUGAGAGGUU